Molecule: ribosomal RNA, 438 nt
Filed under: uncultured bacterium
Lineage: Bacteria
Description: bacterial SSU rRNA
Rfam family: Bacterial small subunit ribosomal RNA
Source: RNAcentral
UAGGGAAUUUUCGUCAAUGGGCGCAAGCCUGAACGAGCAAUGCCGCGUGAGUGAGGAAGGCCUUCGGGUCGUAAAGCUCUGUUGCGAGGGAAAAAGGAACGGAAGAGGAAAUGAUUCCGUUUUGAUGGUACCUCGCCAGAAAGUCACGGCUAACUACGUGCCAGCAGCCGCGGUAAUACGUAGGUGGCAAGCGUUAUCCGGAAUGAUUGGGCGUAAAGGGUGCGCAGGCGGCAUAUCAAGUCUGAAGUGAAAGGUACGGGCUCAACCUGUACAGGCUUUGGAAACUGGUAUGCUCGAGGACAGGAGAGGGCGGUGGAACUCCACGUGUAGCGGUAAAAUGCGUAGAGAUGUGGAAGAACACCAGUGGCGAAGGCGGCUUUCUAGGCCACGACUGACGCUGAGGCGCGAAAGCUAGGGGAGCAAACAGGAUUAGAUACC